GACGAACGCUGGCGGCGUGCUUAACACAUGCAAGUCGAACGGAAAGGCCCUGCUUUUUUGGGGUGCUCGAGUGGCGACCGGGUGAGUUACACGUGAGUACCCUGCCCUUGACUUUGGGAUAACUUCAGGAAACUGGGUCUCAUACCGCAUAGGAGCUCCUGCUUCUUGGUGGGGGUUGAAAAGUUUCGGCGGUUGGGGAUGGACUCGCGGCUUAUCAGCUUGUUGGUGGGGUAGUGGCUUACCAUGGCUUUGACGGGUAGCCGGCCUGAGAGGGUGAGCGGCAAAGAUGGGACGGGGAUAAGGCACAGACUCGAAUGGGAGGCAGCGGUGGGGAAUAGAACACAAGGGGAGGAAGGAAGAUGUAACAAAGCAGCGUGGGGGAUGAGGGGCUUCGGGUUGGAAACCGAAGUCGCCUGUGACGAAGCGUGAGUGACGGUAACGGGUAAAGAAGCACCGGCUAACUACGUG
This 468-nucleotide ribosomal RNA is filed under the name uncultured bacterium. RNAcentral's name for it is "partial 16S ribosomal RNA". It matches the Rfam family "Bacterial small subunit ribosomal RNA", at positions 28 to 507 of the family's 1533-position model. The record is from RNAcentral.